GUGUUAUUUAGAGAACUGGCUGUGUGUGUGUGUGUGUGUGUUAUUUAGAGAACUGGCUGUGUGUGUGUGUGUGUGUGUUAUUUAGAGAACUGGCUGUGUGUGUGUGUGUGUUAUUUAGAGAACUGGCUGUGUGUGUGUGUGUGUUAUUUAGAGAACUGGUUGUGUGUGUGUGUGUGUUUAGAGAACUGGCUGUGUGUGUGUGUGUGUUAUUUAGAGAACUGGCUGUGUGUGUGUGUGUGUUAUUUAGAGAACUGGCUGUGUGUGUGUGUGUGUUAUUUAGAGAACUGGCUGUGUGUGUGUGUGUGUUAUUUAGAGAACUGGUUGUGUGUGUGUGUGUGUUAUUUAGAGAACUGAACUGGUGUGUGUGUGUGUGUGUUAUUUAGAGAACUGGUUGUGUGUGUGUGUGUGUUAUUUAGAGAACUGGUUGUGUGUGUGUGUGUGUUAUUUAGAGAACUGGCUGUGUGUGUGUGUGUGUUAUUUAGAGAACUGGCUGUGUGUCAUUUAGAUUGCUGGGUGUGUGUGUGUGUGUGUUAUUUAGAGAACUGGCUGUGUGUGUGUGUGUGUUAUUUAGAGAACUGGCUGUGUGUCAUUUAGAUUGCUGGGUGUGUGUGUG
Molecule: long non-coding RNA, 613 nt
Organism: Oncorhynchus tshawytscha (Chinook salmon)
Lineage: Eukaryota; Metazoa; Chordata; Actinopteri; Salmoniformes; Salmonidae
Source: Ensembl